GCAUAUCAUAAGCGGAGGAAAAAGAAACCCAACAGGGAUUGCCCUAGUAACGGCGAGUGAAGCGGCAAGAGCUCAAAUUUGAAAUCUGGCUCCUCCGGGGUCCGAGUUGUAAUUUGCAGAGGAUGCUUCGGGUGCGGUCCCCGUCUAAGUGCCCUGGAACGGGCCGUCAUAGAGGGUGAGAAUCCCGUCUGGGAUGGGCGGCCGUGCCCGUGUGAAGCUCCUUCGACGAGUCGAGUUGUUUGGGAAUGCAGCUCUAAAUGGGUGGUAAAUUUCAUCUAAAGCUAAAUAUUGGCCGGAGACCGAUAGCGCACAAGUAGAGUGAUCGAAAGAUGAAAAGCACUUUGAAAAGAGAGUUAAACAGCACGUGAAAUUGUUGAAAGGGAAGCGCUUGCGACCAGACUCGCCUGCGGGGGUUCAGCCGGUACUCGUACCGGUGUACUCCCCCGUGGGCGGGCCAGCGUCGGUUUGGGCGGCCGGUCAAAGGCCCCCGGAAUGUGUCACCUCUCGGGGUGUCUUAUAGCCGGGGGUGCAAUGCGGCCAGCCUGGACCGAGGAACGCGCUUCGGCACGGACGCUGGCGUAAUGGUCGUAAGCGGCCCGUCUUGAAACACGGACCAAGGAGUCUAACAUCUACGCGAGUGUUCGGGUGUCAAACCCGUCCGCGCAGUGAAAGCGAACGGAGGUGGGAGCCUUUCGGGGUGCACCAUCGACCGAUCCUGAUGUCUUCGGAUGGAUUUGAGUAAGAGCGUAGCUGUUGGGACCCGAAAGAUGGUGAACUAUGCCUGAAUAGGGCGAAGCCAGAGGAAACUCUGGUGGAGGCUCGCAGCGGUUCUGACGUGCAAAUCGAUCGUCAAAUUUGGGUAUAGGGGCGAAAGACUAAUCGAACCAUCUGGUAGCUGGUCUGCGAG
RNAcentral lists this ribosomal RNA (907 nucleotides) under Paecilomyces dactylethromorphus. Its description in RNAcentral is "LSU rRNA". It matches the Rfam family "Eukaryotic large subunit ribosomal RNA", at positions 38 to 962 of the family's 3401-position model. Lineage: Eukaryota; Fungi; Ascomycota; Eurotiomycetes; Eurotiales; Thermoascaceae. The record is from RNAcentral.